This 260-nucleotide ribosomal RNA is filed under the name uncultured Lamproderma sp. RNAcentral's name for it is "partial 18S ribosomal RNA". It matches the Rfam family "Eukaryotic small subunit ribosomal RNA", at positions 28 to 203 of the family's 1831-position model. The record is from RNAcentral. Lineage: Eukaryota; Evosea; Eumycetozoa; Stemonitida.
AUGCUUCUCCUAAAGACUAAGCCAUGCAUGCCCUGAAUAUGAGGAAGCAAUUCUCUCUGAAUCUGCGAACGGCUCCGCAAACCAGUUGUAAACUAUAGCAAGCAAGCCCGGGGCUGGCCUUCACGGGCCGGCUCCGGGUUAUAUGGAUAACCCUGGUAAUUCUGAGGCUAAUACAUGACAGUACAACCUGGCUGACUGGGCUUCGGCCUGGGAUGCCGGGGGACGUGUGAUUGAGGGCUUGGUGACACCGGGAAGGGGCG